RNAcentral lists this small RNA (571 nucleotides) under Pan troglodytes (chimpanzee). RNAcentral's name for it is "processed transcript". Lineage: Eukaryota; Metazoa; Chordata; Mammalia; Primates; Hominidae. The record is from RNAcentral.
ACAAAACGUCUUGUCUGCAGUAUGCAUUACUCUCAGAAAACAAAAGGUGUUUAAGAUAGCACUGUACUACUACAGCAGCUGUUUAAGGAAGACAGAGCAGGCAUUGGAUAAUAUUCUUAUUAAGCUCAGGACAGUCAGCUUACCCUGAGGCGCAUUGACCACUGGGAGAGAUGUGGAUAUAGAAAUCCAAUCAUGGAUCAUUAGGAAGAAGGAAGCGUUGGAUAGGCACUCAGCAUGGUCCACCACAGGUGCAUUAAGGAUUGUGUAUUACGUUUUUUACUUAUGUGAAACACCACCUUCCCCCAUCAAGCCUGUAAGUAUGAAGUCGAGUCCCUAGUGAAUCUACUCUCUGACUUCUGUGUUUCAAGCACCCUCAUUAGCAGAGCUUAUAUAGCUUCGGAGUUGAAGAAUUUUUUUUUCCCAAAAAUUCUCUUCUCAUUUAAUAGACACCUGUCUGUAGAGUAAACUAUGCAGGCCAUAAAUGGAACAAAGAUAGUUUAGGAAAAUACAGUUUCUUAAAUAAAUUACUUUUUAAAAGUAUAUUUUCUCUCAGCUCUUCUCUCCAAAGGAG